CCUACGGGAGGCUGCAGUCGAGAAUCAUUCACAAUGGGGGAAACCCUGAUGGUGCGACGCCGCGUGGGGGAAUGAAGGUCUUCGGAUUGUAAACCCCUGUCAUGUGGGAGCAAAUUAAAAAGAUAGUACCACAAGAGGAAGAGACGGCUAACACUGUGCCAGCAGCCGCGGUAAUACAGAGGUCUCAAGCGUUGUUCGGAAUCACUGGGCGUAAGGCGUGCGUAGGCGGUUUCGUAAGUCGUGUGUGAAAGGCGCGGGCUCAACCCGCGGACGGCACAUGAUACUGCGAGACUAGAGUAAUGGAGGGGUAACCGGAAUUCUCGGUGUAGCAGUGAAAUGCGUAGAUAUCGAGAGGAACACUCGUGGCGAAGGCGGGUUCCUGGACAUUAACUGACGCUGAGGCACGAAGGCCAGGGGAGCGAAAGGGAUUAGAUACCCGAGUAGUC
RNAcentral lists this ribosomal RNA (446 nucleotides) under uncultured bacterium. Its description in RNAcentral is "partial 16S ribosomal RNA". It matches the Rfam family "Bacterial small subunit ribosomal RNA", at positions 338 to 795 of the family's 1533-position model. The record is from RNAcentral.